AUAUUUCCCCGGCAGGGGAGAUACCGUCAUCACGAAGGUGGUGUUCCCAGGGCGAGGCUUACCCACGGCACGACGGGUAAGCUGCUGACUUCUGCAGUUUACCCAGCGGUGGGAAACUCGACUGCAUCGUUUGUGGUGGGGGACCGUGUUCACACUUCAAAA
This is a small nuclear RNA of Felis catus (domestic cat), 162 nucleotides long. It matches the Rfam family "U1 spliceosomal RNA". From Rfam's summary of the family: U1 is a small nuclear RNA (snRNA) component of the spliceosome (involved in pre-mRNA splicing). Its 5' end forms complementary base pairs with the 5' splice junction, thus defining the 5' donor site of an intron. The record is from Rfam. Lineage: Eukaryota; Metazoa; Chordata; Mammalia; Carnivora; Felidae.